GAUGAAGAACGCAGCGAAAUGCGAUAAGUAAUGUGAAUUGCAGAAUUCAGUGAAUCAUCGAAUCUUUGAACGCACAUUGCGCCCGCCAGUAUUCUGGCGGGCAUGCCUGUUCGAGCGUCAUUUCAACCAUCAAGCCCCCGGCUUGUGUUGGGGACCUGCGGCUGCCGCAGGCCCUGAAAUGCAGUGGCGGGCUCGCUGUCACUCCGAGCGUAGUAGUUACAUCUCGCUCUGGGCGUGCUGCGGGUUCCGGCCGUUAAAAGCCUUAUUUAACCAAGGUUGACCUCGGAUCAGGUAGGAAGACCCGCUGAACUUAAGCAUAUCAAUAAGGGAGGA
Molecule: unclassified non-coding RNA, 333 nt
Filed under: soil metagenome
Description: partial contains 5.8S ribosomal RNA, internal transcribed spacer 2, and large subunit ribosomal RNA
Rfam family: 5.8S ribosomal RNA (bases 1-120)
Source: RNAcentral